CUUGUUUUAAUAAACAAUGUCUCUUUCUAGGAAGGUGUUUUGCUUCAGAGGGUCUGCUAGCUGAAGUGCCACUGUGCUCCUCUGAGCACAGAACAUGGAUGUCUUUGGUCUCUGGUAGGAGGAGUGAUGGGCCGCACUUACAGAUCCCAGGCACAGAGCAACAUUUUGCAGGCACUCUGGACUCUAUGAACAGAUGACAGACCACACAGUCAUUAAAGUCUCUAAGAGUUCAGCAGAGAGGGAAAUCACUAUGAACUGGCAUGUGGAAGAAUGAGGAAGAGUGACCUGGACCUUCAAAGCUGGCAUUCUGAAAUACAGAAGGAGAGCCCUGAAGACUGUGACUAAAUCUGCUUGCGUAGGUAAAAAGGUAAUGCUGCAGAGAAGUACAGAUAAAGAUGGAAAU
RNAcentral lists this long non-coding RNA (403 nucleotides) under Rhinopithecus bieti (black snub-nosed monkey). RNAcentral's name for it is "lncRNA (ENSRBIG00000045947.1)". The record is from RNAcentral. Lineage: Eukaryota; Metazoa; Chordata; Mammalia; Primates; Cercopithecidae.